UUCAAAUGCUUGGCAUUCCAUACACAUGUUCUUCUUUUUUGUGGUUAACGCAACGAUUAGAACAACGUAGGAUAUGAUAUACAACCAUUCAAGGAUUAUUUCACUAAUGUUGGUAACUACAAUACAAGCAAUCAGUAUCACGUGGGAAAUAUGAACAAUAAUACACGUACUACUAGCAAAACAAGCAUUACAUACAGAUUUUUUUGACACUGACUUUGAAAAUCAGUGGUCAUUGACUAAACACACAGAUAAUCCGUUUGAGUUAGCAAUUGACACAGAGAUCAGUAUAAGAUAGAGCCAGUUAGGUCCCAGAAGAAAAAAAAUUUCACAAUAUUCCGUGUGAGCUACUAUCACACACAGAUAUCGGUGAGAGACCAUUUUGAUUAGACUGUGUUGCAGAGUUUUGAUAUAGUAGUUCACAGUGACUUCACACAGCUAUCCGUGUGAUUACCUUAUGUUACCGAAGUCUGUAUGCAAUGUUUUGAUAAAAAGUUGCAUCGAUAAUUGCAAAAAUGCAAUUGACACAUAUAACAGUGUCUUUUGUCAGUCCACACGGACAUCUGUGGUUAUGUCAAUAUACAAAUGACACUGUAAAACGUAUGAAUUGAUAACUGAUUUCAAUAUAACUUAGACUUGUAAAAUAAAUUCAUUCUCAGCUGAACUUCCUAUGGAUUUUCUCUCUUGAGUUCUCUGUUCUCCGAUCUUCGACGACACACCCGUCUUCAGAUCUUGGUCUCCUCUUCCAAGAGUUCAGACAGCAACUCCGGGUGAUUGUCAUAUGGAUAUAUGAAUUGGUGUUUCUUAUGAAUAUUCUUUUUCACUUUCAGGUUUCAGAUUGCUUUUUUUCAUUUUUUUUAACUUAAAACUUUUUCAAACUGAUUUACUAACACCCAAGGUACUAGUGCUUUACUCUGAAAUCUUCAAGAUUAGUUAGUUCAUGAGAACCAUAUCACGAAGCUGACUAUAAAUCUCUUUCAUCGACGACAAAGACGACAUCGCUGCUAAAAGUCAUCGCCGGAGCCUCGGAAUCCGAUUUGGAAGCGGAUCGAUUCGGAGUCAGCGGCGGCGUUGUCGGGUUCUAUUCCGGCGCAUCAAUAUGGAAGAAGUUGAGGUUGUCGACGAUUGGAAGUCGCUGGGUCUGGUUCGACUUGGUUUUGGUUCAAGGCCGAUCUCUUGCCGGAAUGGAGUUUGGGUCGAACGUCGGCCGUGUCUGAAGAUCGUUCACGAUCUGCUCUGAUGCAUCGACGAGAUCUGGAUAAUAGUACUCAUCGGCCUUCGAUGAGGAGCUUGAUGUUUAGGUUGGCUUCUGGACCUAUACCCUCUUCAAAUUCAACCAUGCAUGUCUUCCUCACACUGUUCUGGGCUAUUGCCAUAAAAGCUAAGGCAACUAUGCUGAGAAAGGAAGUAGAGAUUCGUUCCUGAAAUGAAGAAUUAGAUAUGCAGUACUUGGCAAUUAUGCAAGAGAAUGCGAAGACGGCGGAAUGCUUGGUACUCUGGAGGGAUUUUCUCAAGUUUUAGAAUUGCAUCUUGGAAUUCCAAAGUUAGUUUGUUGAACUUUGGAAUGAGAAAGAACAGAUCUUGGGAAAGCAAUUUUUUUGAGACAAGGAGUUCAAUUAUUUUGCUGUAUAAAUUUAGUAUAUUUUUGCAUCGAAAAAAAGUAGAUCUUGCUAGAUGAUUCUAAUCUUUUGUAACUUCUUUUUGAAAAAACAAAAAAAUGAGAGCAGAUAUUUAUAUUUUUA
Molecule: long non-coding RNA, 1739 nt
Organism: Rosa rugosa (rugosa rose)
Lineage: Eukaryota; Viridiplantae; Streptophyta; Magnoliopsida; Rosales; Rosaceae
Exons: 2
Source: RefSeq, a predicted model, not a curated record